This 529-nucleotide ribosomal RNA is filed under the name Mogulones uncipes. RNAcentral's name for it is "partial 16S ribosomal RNA". It matches the Rfam family "Bacterial large subunit ribosomal RNA", at positions 1809 to 2611 of the family's 2925-position model. Lineage: Eukaryota; Metazoa; Arthropoda; Insecta; Coleoptera; Curculionidae. The record is from RNAcentral.
AAAAACAUGGCCUUUUGUAAAUAAUUUAAGGUUUAACCUGCUCAAUGAGUUUUAAAUGGCCGCAGUAUCCUAACUGUGCAAAGGUAGCAUAAUCAUUAGUUUUUUAAUUAGAAGCUGGAAUGAAAGGUUGAAUGAGAAAAUAACUGUCUCUAUAAAAAUUUUAUAGAAAUUUAUUUUUAAGUUAAAAAGCUUAAAUUUUAAUAAAAGACAAGAAGACCCUAUAGAGUUUAAUACUUGUGUUCAAUCUUUUUUUUUAGUAUUUUAAAAUUUAUUUUGCUAUAGUAUUUGGUUGGGGUGAUUAGAAAAUUAAAUAAACUUUUCUUUUAUAGAAACAUUUAUAUAUGAAAAAAUGAUCCUUUUUAAAGAUUAUAAGAUAAAAUUACCUUAGGGAUAACAGCGUAAUUUUUUUUGAGAGUUCUUAUCGAAAAAAAAGAUUGCGACCUCGAUGUUGGAUUAAAAUAAAUUUUUGGUGUAGAAGCUAAAUUUGAUUAGGUCUGUUCGACCUUUAAAAUUUUACUUGAUCUGAGUU